This 461-nucleotide small RNA is filed under the name Arabidopsis thaliana (thale cress). RNAcentral's name for it is "ATSL284560". The record is from RNAcentral. Lineage: Eukaryota; Viridiplantae; Streptophyta; Magnoliopsida; Brassicales; Brassicaceae.
UAAAAGCUUUUAAAAGAGUUAACUUAAAAUCUAUUUUGGCGGGAAAUAUUUUUUUGAAAUUUUUUGCCGGGAAAUUUUUGGCGGGAAAUUUAUUUUGGAAUAUUUUAUGCAAAAAAAUAUUAAUAUUUCAUUUUGUUAACUUAAAACAAUUUCCAAAUAAGGGUAAAAUGGUCAUUAAAAAUUUAAAGAGCGUAAAAAUAAAAAUGGAUAAAACAAAAGGGUAGAGUUGAAAAGGGGCAUCAUGAAAAGGGCAUUAGAAAGAAUUUUUCUUAUUGGUUAAAACAUAUACUCUAAACCGUUUAUUAUACUUUUUAUCAUUCAAACAUUUGUACUGUACCACUUAUUUUUCAUUGACUACACAUAUUUCUCAUACUGCGUUUUUUCUUAACAAAUCGCACUAUACUACUAAAUCCAUUUGAUCUGCAUUGCCAAAUCCAUUCCUCCCAUUGGAAGUCUAUAUU